AGGUGGUGCAUGGUUGUCGUCAGCUCGUGUCGUGAGAUGUUGGGUUAAGUCCCGCAACGAGCGCAACCCUCGACCUUAGUUGCCAGCAUUCAGUUGGGCACUCUAAGGUGACUGCCGGCUAAAAGUCGGAGGAAGGUGGGGAUGACGUCAAAUCAUCAUGCCCCUUAUGACCUGGGCUACACACGUGCUACAAUGGGCGGUACAAAGGGUCGCGAACCCGCGAGGGGGAGCCAAUCCCAAAAAGCCGCUCUCAGUUCGGAUUGCAGGCUGCAACUCGCCUGCAUGAAGCCGGAAUCGCUAGUAAUCGCGGAUCAGCAUGCCCGCGGUCGAAUACGUUCCCGGGCCUU
RNAcentral lists this ribosomal RNA (347 nucleotides) under uncultured Anoxybacillus sp. RNAcentral's name for it is "bacterial SSU rRNA". It matches the Rfam family "Bacterial small subunit ribosomal RNA", at positions 1036 to 1382 of the family's 1533-position model. The record is from RNAcentral. Lineage: Bacteria; Bacillati; Bacillota; Bacilli; Caryophanales; Anoxybacillaceae.